This 314-nucleotide non-coding RNA is filed under the name Mycolicibacterium neoaurum VKM Ac-1815D. RNAcentral's name for it is "Mycobacterium sp. VKM Ac-1815D Mycobacterium smegmatis small RNA 1". It matches the Rfam family "Mycobacterium smegmatis small RNA 1". Rfam says of the family: Mycobacterium smegmatis small RNA 1 is highly expressed during stationary phase of growth. Ms1 RNA directly interacts with RNA polymerase (RNAP), but in a different way than 6S, which is present in other bacteria. Lineage: Bacteria; Bacillati; Actinomycetota; Actinomycetes; Mycobacteriales; Mycobacteriaceae. The record is from Rfam by way of RNAcentral.
ACGGAGCUCGACAAGGCCAAGGCCACACCGGAAGAGAAGGUGUGAUCUCCCGAGUCGAAACUCCUAGCACGGAUCACCGGAACCCACGCGGAGCUCAAGCCGCGAUACAGGCAGAAGCGUUGUGGGCCUGCGGAAUCACGAAAAGCGAAUGACGUGACAACCCCUUGGGUGGGGUUGCGCCCAUAGCGCAACGUGAGAACGCCGAGGCCACCCACACAACCCACCUCAGCACGCUUGGUAACCGGAAUCCGUGCUAGCGGGCGACGAGCCGUGACCGACGCAAGUGGGUCACGGAGCGUCGCCCGCUUCAUUUG